CUGUCUCACGAGAACCUGAAUAUCUCUUAACAUACUGUCCAUAUGAUCGUUUCAUUACUUUCUUAUGAAAAUAGAUUCAUCAAGGUUCAUUUACAUAAUUUAUUAAUUAUUUAAUUCCAAUCCUAAUAUUUUUAGUGAUUUUCCAAAUCUACAUCACUGCUGCUGCCAGCAUCUGCCUUUAAGGUAGACUUUACCUAUUUCAUAGUUUCCAUGAUUCAACUAGCC
Molecule: long non-coding RNA, 225 nt
Filed under: Gossypium barbadense (sea-island cotton)
Lineage: Eukaryota; Viridiplantae; Streptophyta; Magnoliopsida; Malvales; Malvaceae
Description: long non-coding RNA (GBAR_LNC009025)
Source: RNAcentral